UUGCUUUGGCAGCACAUAUAAUAAAAUUGGAAGAAUUCAAGAAGAUUAGCAGGACCCCUGUGCAAAAUAUGGCUGGAUAAUUGAUUUAUUAACAUAAAUAU
Small nuclear RNA from Nomascus leucogenys (northern white-cheeked gibbon), 101 nucleotides. The record is from Ensembl. Lineage: Eukaryota; Metazoa; Chordata; Mammalia; Primates; Hylobatidae.